CGAGUGUUUGCUGCUUUCUGCUCUUGCAGGAGACAAUCUCCUCAUCUCUAUUCCCUGCAGGAGGUUUCCUCUCUCCCUGCCCUCGGCACAGCGGGGAGAGGUGGUUGCUGCAGGCUGGAGGGUCCCCAGCACUUACCUGAUUAGAGCAGCCCAUCUCCAGCACCGGGCAAGCCCAGAGCCGGGCUGGGGCUGAUCGCUCUGAGCACGGGCCAGAAGGACCAGAACUCUACCAGCAAGAAGAAAUAAAUAUAUAUUUCUCUCUAUAUAAGCUCCUUUAAUUAUAUAGCUGUAAGGCAGAUUAAAAUUAUAUUCUGAUGUCACCUGGUAUCAAAGGAAAUCUCUCCGACUUUCCAUGCACAUCGUACCGUGCUGCGCAGGGAAGGUAAUUAAAUCCUCAGUAAUAAUCGUACAGGUUAUUCUGACCUGAACAUCCAUUGCUCUUUCACACCUGUCCUGACAUGUAAAGAAGACAAGACAGUACUCAGAAGUGCAAGGAAUAGAAAAACUCAGCUUCCUGCCCCAGAAAACAGUGGGAAGCUGUGGAGCUGAGCUGCUGCUGGGGAGAAGAGCCGGCACCACCCCCUGGGACCUGGGGUGUCUCCCGUGGGAUCCCAGCCUGGGCAGGGGACGGUGAUGGGAACUGGAGCCAGAGCCUGGGCUGAGUCCUGACCAACACCUCCAGCAUCUCCUUCUCCUCCUGACAGCAGGAAUUUGUCUUCACCUCAGCAAUCAGGAAAGAAGAUCCAGGCAAUGGGAAUGGCCUCAGAGAGCUAACUGCACCUCCCGAAAGCUCAGGAGCUCUCAAAGGACCUUUUUCCUGGGACGAAGGAGAAUGUUCAUCCUCGGGUGUCUCAGAGGGGACGCGCCGCUGCCCGAGAGGCCCCUCUGCCAGGUGUGUGCACCCCCAAACCCCACCUGCACCCCGCAGCGCCGCUUAAAUCAGCACGUGCUGGCAAGAAGAGCGGCUUGAAAUAUUUCCAGCAAAUUGUGCUGUGUGUAUUACAGAGGCAGAUAGGUGUUGGGAGAAGCUGGGUUGUGUCUUGGUACCAGAUGCUCAGGUUUGUGAGCAUCGGCUGCGCUCGCUGGGGCUCCCACCGAGCCCACCCAACGGGAUGGCUACUGAGGGGCCAAAGCAGGUGGCCAGGACAGUGAGCAGGUUAUCGACAGGGCCGUGGCAAUGAGGUUAUUCGGGAACGCACGGCGAGUCUGGGAAACAGGCCUGGGU
Calidris pugnax (ruff) is the source of this 1225-nucleotide long non-coding RNA. RefSeq lists it as uncharacterized. The transcript has 3 exons. The record is from RefSeq and is a predicted model, not a curated record. Lineage: Eukaryota; Metazoa; Chordata; Aves; Charadriiformes; Scolopacidae.